Molecule: transfer RNA, 71 nt
Filed under: Weissella oryzae SG25
Lineage: Bacteria; Bacillati; Bacillota; Bacilli; Lactobacillales; Lactobacillaceae
Also listed under: 1 other name
Rfam family: tRNA
About the family: Transfer RNA (tRNA) molecules are approximately 80 nucleotides in length. Their secondary structure includes four short double-helical elements and three loops (D, anti-codon, and T loops).
Source: Rfam by way of RNAcentral
UGGGCAUUGGCCAAGAGGUAAGGCAAAGGUCUCUGAAUCCUUGAGCACUGGUUCGAAUCCAGUAUGCCCAA